CCUUCGGCAAAUGGACAAAGUGUAUACAGAAAUCGAGUGAUUAUGUCAAAAAAUGAUGUAUGUCUUUUUUGACAAUUGCUUAAAAUAAAUUCUACACCGACAGAGCGGGCUGUUAAUCUAGAGGCUGGAGUACAAAGAAGUGGCACAAUGAUGUGGGCUGAUGACAUUUAUAAUUAUCAAGGAAUCACCCCUACAUUCGCUCAGAAUUUUAAUGAAACUGUCCCUUGGGAAGGAAGAACUGAUACCUUGAUAUCACAGUUUGUACAUCCUAUAUAUACGACAAAUUUUAGAACAUUAUAUAACGAAGAACCAGAUCGUCGUGGCCAUGUGAUGUGAAUAAAAGGACUUGAAUUUGAUGAUAUUUUUAUAAUGUUAGAUAACAUAACUAAGUAUCUUCACAGUAAGAUAGGAUGACAUGGUUUACAUGAUCUUAAUGUUGUUCACUCGAGUGAUGAUAUUAUAAGGAAAAGUGUAAUAUCACAGGAUAUUUAUGUUUAGUAACCAGUAAUUCAGAGAUUGGUAUUCAUGGUUACUAUAACGAGGCUGUAGAAACGCACCCUUUCUUCUUUGCAAAUGGUCCUGUAUUUAUGUCUAAGCCGAAACUGGAACCUCUGAAUAAUUUAGAUUUAUUCUUGUUAUUUUCUAAAAUACUUAUCUACAGUAUACCAUAAGGAAUGAUACCGUAUCGCACCUAAUCAAGUGCCUUAAGAAACAUCA
This is a long non-coding RNA of Bombus huntii, 717 nucleotides long. RefSeq lists it as uncharacterized. The record is from RefSeq and is a predicted model, not a curated record. The transcript is spliced from 4 exons. NCBI's taxonomy places the organism in Eukaryota, Metazoa, Arthropoda, Insecta, Hymenoptera, Apidae.